UACCAGCUCUCCGAGUUGUAGGGAUGAUUAUUGGGCUUAAAGCGUCCGUAGCUGGCUUAGCAAGUCUCCUGUUAAAUUCAGCGACCUAAUCGUUGAGCCGCGGGAGAUACUACUAGGCUAGGAGGCGGGAGAGGUCGACGGUACUUUCGGGGUAGGGGUGAAAUCCUAUAAUCCCGGGAGGACCACCAGUGGCGAAGGCUGUCGACUAGAACGCGCUCGACGGUGAGGGACGAAAGCUGGGGGAGCGAACCGGAUUAGAUACCCGGGUAGUCCCAGCUGUAAACUAUGCGGGCUAGGUGUUGGGGUGGCUACGGGCCACUUCAGUGCCGCAGGAAAGCCAUUAAGCCCGCCGCCUGGGGAGUACGGCCGCAAGGCUGAACUUAAAGGAAUUGGCGGGGGAGCACCACAAGGCGUGAAGCUUGCGGUUC
This 428-nucleotide ribosomal RNA is filed under the name uncultured archaeon. RNAcentral describes it as "bacterial SSU rRNA". It matches the Rfam family "Archaeal small subunit ribosomal RNA", at positions 474 to 903 of the family's 1478-position model. The record is from RNAcentral.